GCUAUAAUGCAGUCGAGCGAAUGGAUUAAGAGCUUGCUCUUAUGAAGUUAGCGGCGGACGGGUGAGUAACACGUGGGUAACCUGCCCAUAAGACUGGGAUAACUCCGGGAAACCGGGGCUAAUACCGGAUAACAUUUUGAACCGCAUGGUUCGAAAUUGAAAGGCGGCUUCGGCUGUCACUUAUGGAUGGACCCGCGUCGCAUUAGCUAGUUGGUGAGGUAACGGCUCACCAAGGCAACGAUGCGUAGCCGACCUGAGAGGGUGAUCGGCCACACUGGGACUGAGACACGGCCCAGACUCCUACGGGAGGCAGCAGUAGGGAAUCUUCCGCAAUGGACGAAAGUCUGACGGAGCAACGCCGCGUGAGUGAUGAAGGCUUUCGGGUCGUAAAACUCUGUUGUUAGGGAAGAACAAGUGCUAGUUGAAUAAGCUGGCACCUUGACGGUACCUAACCAGAAAGCCACGGCUAACUACGUGCCAGCAGCCGCGGUAAUACGUAGGUGGCAAGCGUUAUCCGGAAUUAUUGGGCGUAAAGCGCGCGCAGGUGGUUUCUUAAGUCUGAUGUGAAAGCCCACGGCUCAACCGUGGAGGGUCAUUGGAAACUGGGAGACUUGAGUGCAGAAGAGGAAAGUGGAAUUCCAUGUGUAGCGGUGAAAUGCGUAGAGAUAUGGAGGAACACCAGUGGCGAAGGCGACUUUCUGGUCUGUAAACUGACACUGAGGCGCGAAAAGCGUGGGGGAGCAAACAGGAUUAGAUACCCUGGUAGUCCACGCCCGUAAACGAUGAGUGCUAAGUGUAGAGGGUUUCCCGCCCUUUAGUGCUGAAUUUAAC
RNAcentral lists this ribosomal RNA (831 nucleotides) under Bacillus cereus. Its description in RNAcentral is "bacterial SSU rRNA". It matches the Rfam family "Bacterial small subunit ribosomal RNA", at positions 46 to 856 of the family's 1533-position model. Lineage: Bacteria; Bacillati; Bacillota; Bacilli; Caryophanales; Bacillaceae. The record is from RNAcentral.